Molecule: ribosomal RNA, 565 nt
Filed under: Amycolatopsis sp. 384G10
Lineage: Bacteria; Bacillati; Actinomycetota; Actinomycetes; Pseudonocardiales; Pseudonocardiaceae
Description: bacterial SSU rRNA
Rfam family: Bacterial small subunit ribosomal RNA
Source: RNAcentral
GAGUGGCGAACGGGUGAGUAACACGUGGGUAAUCUGCCUUGCACUCUGGGAUAAGCCUGGGAAACUGGGUCUAAUACCGGAUACGACNAUCUCGNCGCAUGCGGUGGGGUGGAAAGUUCUGGCGGUGCAGGAUGAACCCGCGGCCUAUCAGCUUGUUGGUGGGGUAAUGGCCUACCAAGGCGACGACGGGUAGCCGGCCUGAGAGGGUGACCGGCCACACUGGGACUGAGACACGGCCCAGACUCCUACGGGAGGCAGCAGUGGGGAAUAUUGCACAAUGGGCGCAAGCCUGAUGCAGCGACGCCGCGUGAGGGAUGACGGCCUUCGGGUUGUAAACCUCUUUCGCCAGGGACGAAGCGAGAGUGACGGUACCUGGAUAAGAAGCACCGGCUAACUACGUGCCAGCAGCCGNGGUAAUACGUAGGGUGCGAGCGUUGUCCGGAAUUAUUGGGCGUAAAGAGCUCGUAGGCGGUUUGUCGCGUCGGCCGUGAAAUCUCCACGCUUAACGUGGAGCGUGCGGUCGAUACGGGCAGACUUGAGUUCGGUAGGGGAGACUGGAAUUNCU